Molecule: long non-coding RNA, 569 nt
Filed under: Heterocephalus glaber (naked mole-rat)
Lineage: Eukaryota; Metazoa; Chordata; Mammalia; Rodentia; Bathyergidae
Description: lncRNA (ENSHGLG00000044992.1)
Source: RNAcentral
GUGCUCACAAGUGACAGACAGUGUGUUGGCUGAGUCCUGUGCAGUGCUGCAGAGCCUCGGGACACAAGGCACCGCCUGCGUCUCAUCUGUUUGGGCUGCUAAAACAAAAACCAACUGGCUGGUCGUGUCCCAGUGGCCACCUGAGAGGCGGUGGUCGAAGAGCGCACAGGGGCGGUGCGCUGGACGGCGGAGCCAUCCAGUCAGAAGUCCUUCAGGGCCUCGGCCGGAAGCCAUGACAGACAGACAGGCGAUGGGAGAAACAGGAGCUCCUGGGAAGAAGCUAAAGGGAAGACUUCCAUCUCUGUCUUGUUCGGCCCAGGCUGCAAGCUCGCUGCUCAGUGGCCCCUGAUCCAGAAGCAAUGCGGGGAGCAGCUGUGAUCUGCUAGCCAUGGGCAGGUGUCCUAGAACACAGGCCAUCUUGCCUGGUGGAGAUGGCAAGAGGACGGGCUCUUAGCUGGCUCUUCACUGCUGACCAUCUUCCACAGACACUGCACUUGCAUUGAGCUCAGCCUUCACGACAGCCCUGCCACACGGUUUUCUGCCUCUAUCCAUGGUAAAGACAUUGCAAC